Long non-coding RNA from Harpia harpyja (harpy eagle), 2341 nucleotides. RefSeq lists it as uncharacterized. The transcript is spliced from 2 exons. NCBI's taxonomy places the organism in Eukaryota, Metazoa, Chordata, Aves, Accipitriformes, Accipitridae. The record is from RefSeq and is a predicted model, not a curated record.
UCUGGAAAGUUCUCACAGUGAAUUGAAAUACCACUUUUCCAAAGACAGUCUUUCCAAGGACAUUUUCGUCCUCUUAACUUUCAAAUGGAAUUUUCUUAGGCAUCUUUGAUAACAAGAGUGUUCCUACCCCAAAUGUCACAUCUGGAGGCCUGCAGUUUGAAACUAAACUAUUUUUGGAAUCACCAAAAUUUUCCAACCCAAACUACUCACAGGCCAGUGGCUAGGCUGUCUGCUCACUGCUUUGUUUUUCACUUUUAAAAAGGGUUGUAGGGAAGGUCUGUUCCUGAGGAUAUGUGUUGUUAUAAAAAUACCUACAAAUACCUAACAGUGCAGUUAGGCUUUCCUUUGGUGUCUCAGUAUUUUCUUUUUUCUCCAAGACUGCUAAGUAUGUCUGUGUGAUCAUGAAUGAAGUUAUUUAGCUCAGAGGUCUAUGCAACUAUGUAUUUUCAAUAGAACUGACAUUACUUGAGGUUAGCCCCAGGCUGCUGUUAUGGUGUUACGUGAGGUCAAAUCCUCCCAUACUGCACAAAGCUUUUAAUUUCUUCUUAAGUACACCCAAUAAGACUGACUCCGAAACUCCUCUCCAUAAAUAUUUAUCAUCCAGGACUGCACACACCCUUGCCUUUCUUAUUUGUUUAAUUAUCCAUGUAUUUUAAUGGGAGGAGAGGAGGCCUCCUGCUCCAGGCCAGAGCUCUCGUCACAGGCUUGAAUCGCCCAAGGUACAGAGGUUCAGGAAAAGAUUGGUACAAACACUUAGCAAGAGCAUCAUGUUGUAUGAAAACAGCCCUUUCCACACAUUCCUCUCUGGAAAGUAAGACACAUUUUGCAUAAGGGACAGGGACAAGCUGUGGCGUGGCUUUCAUGACCAUCCAAAGGUGCAUUUCACAGCCUUCUGGAGUGCUUUCAGCCACUGCCCCGACACAACAGCAGACUCACGUUAGGACUGGUCAUAUGCCUGUGUAUGAAGUUUCCUUGAACAGCAAGGUAGUUCUGCCAGGUGAUGCAGGUAGUUAAAGAUUUUACUCCACUGGAAGCACUAGAAUAUCCCAUUUUACUCCUGAUGUGCUAUCUUUUAAAAGAAAUACAUCAGUAUAAUGAACAUGGCAUCUGUGUAAAAGCAGAAAGGCAAGAAGUUCGAUCAUUCCCAAUGAUAAUACUCACUAAGUUUCAUUCAAACCAUCCAUUCACUGUCCAAUCUCCUCUAACUUUCUAUAUUUGCAAAUAUACUUGUCAAUAUUCUCCUUAGAUGCUCAAAACUGCUGCAACUGAGGCAAACAAAGAUUAUCAUUGACUUCCUACCUUCAUUAGAAUUACACAGUAUCUGAAGUUUUCGUUUUACCAAGUGACUAGAUGACUUUAUGCUAGAGCAAGAUACAACAUCAACAUUUUGUUGUUCCACAAGUGUUCAAGACUUAUGCUGUGUUAAAAUGCAUUACAAUACAGUGAAGGAAGAUCACUGAAAUCUUAUUUUUAGGUAGUUAACUUGAUAAGGAGAAAACAGCAGAUGGCAGCACCAGAUGCUAGUGACACGUCUGAUAGGUUUUUAGUAUCAGUGUUAUCUGCUGUCAAAAAAACUGUAACACAUACCCACAGCAAGUCAUUAAUACUCACUUACAUGUAGCAGACAUUUUGGUCUAUGAAAGAAUAAAAAACACACUCUGCUGUAGUGCAAGUCUGAGUUUCAGUAGUUCCAGACAUCACUUCCAUUGUCUGGGCUAUCACAGCAGAAUCCAGAACAGAAUUUCUGAGCUGAUGUGAUCCUUAAGAGUCUCUCAAGCACAGGGUGUUGUUUGUUUUACAUAGCCAGACAUGAUUAACUCAGAUGCGUUCGUGCAUUCUGAAAGCAAGGGCAGUUAGUGGAAGAGACGGCUUAUGGAGGCUGUUGAGUCUCCAGCUCUAAAGGCAUUUAAUGCUAAACUGAGUGUCAGUGAUGAUACUGGUCUAACUGAUCCUGCACUUGCUAAGGGAGAGAGAGCUCUAGGACAGACGCAUGAAGGCAAAAGUGCUUGCAGUUUUAAAGUUACAAUGCCCUUCACAUGGUGUACCACAAAAUCAGUCAGAUCUUUAUUUUUAAAAUGAGGAAAAUCCAGCUUUUUAAUUUAGGACAUCUUUCAUUGCAUAAAUUAAUUUGACAGUAGCAUUACAGUUCUUAAAUACAUUUAUAUAAGAGUUGGGGUUUUUUUCAGUUAUUCCUUCCCUCUGAUGUUUUGCUGAAUCAGGACUUUAAACAGGUGCUUAAAUAAUUCACUGUCACAGUGAGUAGGUCUGUUAAGUGAGACAUGGACUGCCCCAAAAUCUUUCCUGCCAGUACCAAAGCAGAUUGCCAUUUCACUCCACUGUU